UUUGGGAUGGGUUCUGGGAUGGAUUCCUGGAAUGGAUCCCUGGGAUGGAUCCCAGCGAUGGAUCCUGGGGUGGAUUCUGGGAUGGAUUCCUAGGGUGGAUUCCUGGGAUUGAUCCCUGGGAUGGAUUCCUGGGAUUGAUCCCAGCAAUGGAUUCCUGGGGUGGAUUUUGGAAUGGAUCCCUGGAAUGGAUCCUGGGGUGGAUUCCUGGGAU
RNAcentral lists this long non-coding RNA (211 nucleotides) under Parus major (Great Tit). RNAcentral describes it as "lncRNA (ENSPMJG00000007217.1)". The record is from RNAcentral. Lineage: Eukaryota; Metazoa; Chordata; Aves; Passeriformes; Paridae.